RNAcentral lists this ribosomal RNA (1759 nucleotides) under Collinsella sp. AF31-11. RNAcentral's name for it is "partial 23S ribosomal RNA". It matches the Rfam family "Bacterial large subunit ribosomal RNA", at positions 1170 to 2925 of the family's 2925-position model. Lineage: Bacteria; Bacillati; Actinomycetota; Coriobacteriia; Coriobacteriales; Coriobacteriaceae. The record is from RNAcentral.
AUACACGGGGCUAAGCUGGACACCGAAGCGGCGGGAUUUUACCUAAGUAGAAUCGGUAGGGGAGCUUCCCAUGGGCGGUGAAGCCGCCGGGCGACCGGCGGUGGAGCGCAUGGGAGUGAGAAUGCUGGCAUGAGUAGCGAGAGACGAGAGAGUAACUCGUCCGCCGUGAACCCGAGGUUUCCUGGGCAAGGCUAAUCCUCCCAGGGUCAGUCGGGGGCUAAGGCGAGGCCGGGAGGCGUAGCCGACGCGCAGCAGGCAGACAUUCCUGCACCGCGCACGCGGCGCUACGACCGACGGGGCGACGGAUGGGGGUGGCUCGGCGGGGUUCUGGACGUCCCCGUGAUGGAGCGCGGCCCGCGGACCAGGGAAAUCCGGUCCGCACGAGGGCGAGGCUCCGGACGAAGCACUUAAGCGAAGCGAGUGAGCCCGAGGUCCCUAGAAAAACCCCUAGGCAGGCGCGUGCGCGCCCGUACCGCAAACCGACACAGGUGGGUGGGUAGAACAUACCGAGGCGAUCGGGUCAACCAUGGUCAAGGAACUCGGCACAAUGGCCCCGUAACUUCGGGAGAAGGGGUGCCCGCGCGUACGUGAACGGACUUGCUCCGGGAGCGGAGGCGGGCCGCAGUGGAGAGGCCCAAGCGACUGUUUACCAAAAACACAGGACUCUGCAGAAGCCGCAAGGCGACGUAUAGGGUCUGACGCCUGCCCGGUGCCGGAAGGUCACGCGGAGGAGUUAGCGCAUCGCGCGAAGCCCCGAAGCCAAGCCCCGGUAAACGGCGGCCGUAACUAUAACGGUCCUAAGGUAGCGAAAUUCCUUGUCGGGUAAGUUCCGACCUGCACGAAAGGCGCAACGACUUGGGCGCUGUCUCGACCAUGGACCCGGUGAAAUUGCACUGGUCGUGAAGAUGCGACUUACCCGCGGAAGGACGGAAAGACCCCGUGAACCUUCACUGCAGCUUGGCAUUGGCCGCUGGUCCCGCGUGUAGAGGAUAGGCAGGAGGCAUCGAUCCGGAGGCGCCAGCCCCCGGGGAGCCGCCCUUGGAAUACUGCCCUCGCGCGACCGGCGUCCUAACCCGAGGCCGUCACCCGGCUCGGGGACCGUGCCAGGCGGGCAGUUUGACUGGGGCGGUCGCCUCCUAAAGGGUAACGGAGGCGCGCGAAGGUCCGCUCGGGACGGUCGGCAACCGUCCUUUUGAAUGCAAGAGUACAAGCGGGCUUGACUGCGAGGCCCACGAGCCGAGCAGGUGCGAAAGCAGGCUCUAGUGAUCCGGCGGCCCCGAGUGGGUGGGCCGUCGCUCAACGGAUAAAAGGUACUCCGGGGAUAACAGGCUGAUCUUGCCCAAGAGUCCACAUCGACGGCAAGGUUUGGCACCUCGAUGUCGGCUCAUCGCAUCCUGGGGCUGGAGCAGGUCCCAAGGGUACGGCUGUUCGCCGUUUAAAGCGGUACGCGAGCUGGGUUCAGAACGUCGUGAGACAGUUCGGUCCCUAUCCUCCGUGGGCGCAGGAGAAUCGAUGGAGGCUGCCCCCAGUACGAGAGGACCGGGGUGGACGCACCUCCGGUGAACCGGUUGUCGACCAACGGCACGGCCGGGUAGCCGCGUGCGGCGCGGAUAACCGCUGAAGGCAUCUAAGCGGGAAGCCGUUCCAGGGAUUAGUUCUCCUUCCGGUAAGGGCCCAGGUAGACUACCUGGUCGAUAGACGGCAGGUGCAAGGGCGGCGACGCCCUCAGCCGAGCCGCACUAAUCGCCCGAGCUCUUCC